RNAcentral lists this ribosomal RNA (443 nucleotides) under uncultured bacterium. RNAcentral describes it as "partial 16S ribosomal RNA". It matches the Rfam family "Bacterial small subunit ribosomal RNA", at positions 338 to 795 of the family's 1533-position model. The record is from RNAcentral.
CCUACGGGAGGCAGCAGUGGGGAAUAUUGGGCAAUGGGCGCAAGCCUGACCCAGCAACGCCGCGUGAAGGACGAAGGCUUUCGGGUUGUAAACUUCUUUUAUUGAGGACGAAACAAAUGACGGUACUCACUGAAUACGCCAAGGCUAACUACGUGCCAGCAGCAGCGGUAAUACGUAGGUGGCAAGCGUUAUCCGGAUUUACUGGGUGUAAAGCGCUCGUAGGCGGGAUGUCAAGUCAAGGGGGAAAUCCCCGCGCUCAAAGUGGGAACUGCCUUUGAAACUGGCAAACUGGAGUGUGUGAGAGGAUAGUGGAAUUCCAGGUGUAGGAGUGAAAUCCGUAGAUAUCUGGAGGAACAUCAGUGGCGAAGGCGACUAUCUGGCACAUAACUGACGCUGAGGAGCGAAAGCGUGGGUAGCAAACAGGAUUAGAUACCCCAGUAGUC